Molecule: non-coding RNA, 93 nt
Organism: Xenopus tropicalis (tropical clawed frog)
Lineage: Eukaryota; Metazoa; Chordata; Amphibia; Anura; Pipidae
Gene: mirlet7e-2
Product: microRNA let-7e-2
Exons: 1
Source: RefSeq, marked provisional
GCCCUUUGGGGUGAGGUAGUAGGUUGUUUAGUUGUGGGUUGCACCCUGACGUUUGGAUAACUAUACAAUCUACUGUCUUUCCUGAAGUGGCUG